This 364-nucleotide ribosomal RNA is filed under the name uncultured Methanolinea sp. RNAcentral describes it as "bacterial SSU rRNA". It matches the Rfam family "Archaeal small subunit ribosomal RNA", at positions 976 to 1338 of the family's 1478-position model. The record is from RNAcentral. Lineage: Archaea; Methanobacteriati; Methanobacteriota; Methanomicrobia; Methanomicrobiales; Methanoregulaceae.
CUAGCUGAGAGGAGGUGCAUGGCCGUCGUCAGUUCGUACUGUGAAGGCAUCCUGUUAAGUCAGGCAACGAGCGAGACCCACGCCAACAGUUGCCAGCAUGUCCUCCGGGAUGAUGGGGACACUGUUGGGACCGCCUCUGCUAAAGAGGAGGAAGGAAUGGGCAACGGUAGGUCAGCAUGCCCCGAAUUAUCCGGGCUACACGCGGGCUACAAUGGUCAGGACAAUGGGUAUCGACACCGAGAGGUGGAGGCAAUCUCCUAAACCCAUCCGUAGUUCGGAUUGUGGGCUGCAACUCGCCCACAUGAAGCUGGAAUCUGUAGUAAUCGUGUCUCAAAAUGGCACGGUGAAUAUGUCCCUGCUCCUU